AAUCAACGCUGGCGGCGUGCCUAACACAUGCAAGUCGAACGCGAAAGUCCCGCAAGGGGCAAGUAGAGUGGCAAACGGGUGAGUAACACGUGGGUGACCUGCCUUCGAGUGGGGGAUAACGUCCCGAAAGGGACGCUAAUACCGCAUGACAUCCUGCUUUUGGAAAAGCGGAGAUCAAAGCCGGGGAUCGCAAGACCUGGCGCUCGAAGAGGGGCCCGCGCCUGAUUAGCUAGUUGGNGAGGUAACGGCUCACCAAGGCUACGAUCAGUAUCCGGCCUGAGAGGGCGGACGGACACACUGGGACUGAGACACGGCCCAGACUCCUACGGGAGGCAGCAGUGGGGAAUUGUUCGCAAUGGGCGCAAGCCUGACGACGCAACGCCGCGUGGAGGAUGAAGA
Molecule: ribosomal RNA, 399 nt
Filed under: uncultured bacterium
Lineage: Bacteria
Description: bacterial SSU rRNA
Rfam family: Bacterial small subunit ribosomal RNA
Source: RNAcentral